AACGAACGCUGGCGGCAUGCCUAACACAUGCAAGUCGAACGAGACCUUCGGGUCUAGUGGCGCACGGGUGCGUAACGCGUGGGAAUCUGCCCUUGGGUUCGGAAUAACAGUUGGAAACGACUGCUAAUACCGGAUGAUGACGUAAGUCCAAAGAUUUAUCGCCCAAGGAUGAGCCCGCGUAGGAUUAGCUAGUUGGUGAGGUAAAGGCUCACCAAGGCGACGAUCCUUAGCUGGUCUGAGAGGAAGAUCAGCCACACUGGGACUGAGACACGGCCCAGACUCCUACGGGAGGCAGCAGAGGGGGAUAUUGGAACAUGGGCGGAAGCAUGAUCCAGCAAGGCCGCGAGAGCGAUGAAGGCCGUGGAGUUGUAGAGCUCUUUUACCCGUGAUGAUAAUGACAGUACCGAAAGAAUAAGCUCCGGCUAACUACGUG
This 433-nucleotide ribosomal RNA is filed under the name uncultured bacterium. Its description in RNAcentral is "partial 16S ribosomal RNA". It matches the Rfam family "Bacterial small subunit ribosomal RNA", at positions 29 to 507 of the family's 1533-position model. The record is from RNAcentral.